CCAACAUCCUUGAUGCAAUAAAAAGAGUUUGUUGCACCAUUCAGAUCCCGCAAGACAUUUUGAUAACUUCAAAGGCCGAAGGCUUUAUUUCUGACAUAAUGUUGGAGGUCAAAUCUGAUUGCCACCCCUAUUUUUUUUUUCUUUUUAAGCCAGGGCUCAGGAGUACUUUUGCAGCAUUCAGACAAGGUCGGAGCGAUCAAGUUUAUAACAGAAUAUGGACGGAUGUCCCUGCCUCCGUCAAUCAGCCAAUUACAAGAUCUGUUCUUUUAUCUGCAUCCUUAUAUGCCUUGGAGGUGCCUUCGAUCAAUGGAGACAACUGAAAACGAAAAAAAAUUGACGAUGCAUGCCAAAAUUGCAGGAUUUCUCCUCGACAGAUGUGAUAUAAAACUUUCGUGGGAAAUCCCUACGUGAAUGACAGCUCAUAAUAAUGGAGACUCACCCGCUGUUCCUGCGUGGCCACAAAGGUCUGGAAGCCAGGGGCAACGCCAAAGCCCAGCUCGUGCACGAAGGGGGGCUCGGCCUGGCUGUGGAUCUGGACUCGGACUCCCGCUUCGAAUGCUGUGUCCUCUGCAAGGGAUACAAAUGUAUCUUCUUCACAUUCAGAAGGAGACAGACCACCUAAUGUUAGCUUUGAUUUUGAGUUGAAUCUGUACUUUCUAGCAUGCCUAGCGGCAUUUCGCAAAUCAGUGUCAAGAACCAGAAGUUUCUUCUUAAAUGAGUCUUUGCUUCUUUUUCCCCUGUGGUUUAGUGUUAGUCGUUAGUCGAGAUCCUUAUCCACCAUCCGCACAAUCUUUCGUUGAAAUCUCUCGUCAAUUUUUCUUUUCCGUCUACAUUUAGGGAGGUUAGCCACAGUGCCAUGGACUUUACACUUAUUGAUGACACUGCGCACGGUAGACAGAGGAACAUUCAGGUCUUUGGAGAUGGACUUGUAGCUUUGAGAAUGCCCAUGCUUCCUCACAAUUUUGCCUCUCAAGUCCUCAGACAGUUUUUGGUCUUCUUUCUUUUCUCCAUGGUUAAUGUGGUACACACAAGGACACAGGACAGAGGCUGAGUCAACUUUAAUCCAUUUUAACUGGCUGCAAGUGUGAUUUAGUUAUUGCCACCUCCUGUUAUGUGCCACAGGUAAGUAACAGGU
This is a long non-coding RNA of Corythoichthys intestinalis (scribbled pipefish), 1135 nucleotides long. RefSeq lists it as uncharacterized. The record is from RefSeq and is a predicted model, not a curated record. The transcript is spliced from 3 exons. NCBI's taxonomy places the organism in Eukaryota, Metazoa, Chordata, Actinopteri, Syngnathiformes, Syngnathidae.